This 750-nucleotide ribosomal RNA is filed under the name Triticum aestivum (bread wheat). Its description in RNAcentral is "partial small subunit ribosomal RNA". Lineage: Eukaryota; Viridiplantae; Streptophyta; Magnoliopsida; Poales; Poaceae. The record is from RNAcentral.
AUGAUUUUGCUACACACAGUGGAAUAUCCAGAGUUGGAAGAAAAAAAUGGACUGAAGAAUGUUACAGCAGCAACAACUGAUGAGUGUGUUCUUCCUUUAAAACAGUCCCAGUUUUGUGCCUUUGAAUUUUGGGAAGAGCAGCCUAAAAGUGCAGCUACUACAGAAAGCGAUGCAAGCAACCCAACAGGGGUUGGUGAUCUAUAUAUUGAUGGUUCUUUCACUCUCUGGGCCAAAAUGUUGUUCAUCAAUUCUUUGAUGCAGAAUGAAUACUGGAAACUGGAGCAUCAACCAUUAAUUGGUCCCAAGAAGGAAUUGUUUUCUACUGGUAAAAUGUCUUGGUGCCAUGUCAAUUUUCCAAAAUGCUGUAACCAACUCAGCAAGGAAAAAGAAGGGAUAGUAAUCAGAGGUAUUGUUGAUCUUUGUCUGUCGGGUGCUAGUGCUAUAGUUGAUCACGAGAAUCAGAUGUACAACAAAGAGAAAACUAAAAUUUCACACUGGAAAUUCAAAGGAACACCUCUUGAGUUUGACUUCUAUGAUCAAAGUGAAAUCAAUAUUGAGUUCUUGUUGCUGUCAUAUGCUGCAUCUCAAGUCAAGCGGCUUUUUCCAUGGGAUCCAGGAGAACAUGACCAUUUAGUGAAAAUUACUGCGAUGAUACUAGUUGGAACUGCGGGACAGGUUAUUUCUGAACUUAUCAGCAGCAAAGUGAUCACUCAAAUGGCCCGAUGUAGCACAGAGAAUAAGAUACCAUAG